Camellia sinensis is the source of this 1718-nucleotide non-coding RNA. The record is from RefSeq and is a predicted model, not a curated record. NCBI's taxonomy places the organism in Eukaryota, Viridiplantae, Streptophyta, Magnoliopsida, Ericales, Theaceae.
GAAAAAUAGGCAGUAGCUGGAAUUGAAUUUUCCCUGCAGGUUGCAGCUGGAGCCUCAAUUACCUAAUUAGGUGGAAUUAUGUGACAUCAAGGCAUCAAUAAAGCAAUGUAAAUGGGUGAAAGUCAAAGAUAAAUGAUACUGCAAGUCAUGAUGCCCCAUCUAGAGGAGGAAUGUCCAAUUAUAAACUGGUCAAGAAUUGAUCCUAAGCAGAGAGCUACAUGUGUUCAAAACCUAGCAUGUUAGAGUUUGGAAAUUAUAUAGUGAUUUACAUUGUUGUGUAGAGUUAAUUUAGCAAUAGGUUAAGUUCAAAGUAUAAACCAUUGGAGCCCAGAAAUUGUGAACCAGCUCUUAGACAGUGAUGGAGGCACACAGAUUUCUAUAUGUAGUUGAAAUGACUGAAUCAGUGUCCACAUUAUGAGUCAGAAGAAACACAUUCUUUUCAUUGCUCUGGUUGAUCUAUUAGCUAAUUAUUUGAUUGUUGUUUGGAUUUGCCUUGACACAGUAACUUGCAUCCAGUUUAAUCCUGUUGAUGAUAGAUACUUCAUCAGUGGAUCCUUAGAUGCUAAGGUUCACAUAUGGAGCAUUCCUGAUCGUCAAGUUGUCGAUUGGAAUGAUUUGCAUGAGAUGGUCACUGCUGCUUGCUAUACACCAGAUGGUCAGGUUGGCCAUAUCUAGACAGUGCCUCUGAUUCACUUUUGCUCCAUCUUACUGUCCGUAUGCCUUGUUUCAGACUCCAGAAGGUUCACUGUUGGAUAUUAUACGCAAUGCCUAUGAUCUUCUUUCUCACUGUGAUAUAAAAUUCCUAAGAUUGAAGGUAAUGACAAAUAUGUUGAUUCUGGACCCCCAUAUCUCAUCUUCUUUCAUCCUGCUUUGGGCCCACUGUAGGAAGUCACCAGACAAAAAAAUAAGGUUCAAGAGCUUCACAAGCCUUCUACAGAAUAAGGGUCAACGUCUAUCAAAGAUGAUGCAAUUGUUCAUGCAUUUAGUCUAGAACGGCAUGGUAGGUUCCAGGUCUGAGAUGUACGCCUUAUAAUGGACCGCAAUUCAAGUCAUUCCAAGAGAGUUGGGUAAGUUCAAUUUUUCCUUCCAUAGCCAAAAAAUUAUCUCAAUUUAAUUUUUUAUUAUGCUAUAACUAUUUUAAUUCUAUCAUUAGUGGAGGUUUGUCAUCUCGUAAUGAGGUCAAAGAUAGAAGUCUACACUUCUUUUAACAACUAAGGCUGUUAUCAACAAGUGAAGAUGACAGAGCAAAAGGCACACUAAUCAUAUUGAAAAAGUCUACAUGCUAAAUUGACAAGUAAUUAUGGGCUAACAAAAUUGCAGUAAGGCCAAGUCCAAUGCUUUGUAAGAUAGAUGAUGACCCCCUGCCCUUCUCUUUCACCCUCCUCCCCCACACAAUGUAAACUCGCCAAGUUGUUUUUUUUGGUUUUGGGGAUGGGCUUCAUGAAAUUGCAUUGGUUAAAAUUUGGUUUCGGUAAUGGAGAAAUGUUUUAAACAUUGCGUAGCUAUUAAUGGAUUUGUAUUAUUCUAGUGAUUUUAAAAUAUUAAGGGUGAAUAUUGUGGAAAAAAACUGAAGGACAUUUUUUUUUUUUGGUGAAGGAUGGUAUUUGCUUUGAUGUCUCAUAUUUCAUUUAUUAGUGGAAGUUGUUUACUUUCCCUAGUGCUUCCACGCAUUAAUAGAUAUUUGAUCAAUAACAAUUAGAGAGUGUUUGAUUGUACGA